Molecule: long non-coding RNA, 3970 nt
Organism: Clupea harengus (Atlantic herring)
Lineage: Eukaryota; Metazoa; Chordata; Actinopteri; Clupeiformes; Clupeidae
Source: Ensembl
GGGUCUUGUGUGGUUUAUACUGGCUUGUGAAACUGUACAUUUAUGUACAGUAUGACGCAGCUACAUUUUCCAUAUAAAAAAAUGACACGGCAUAAUCCCCAUGCUGAAUCACACUUGCGUGCUUGCUGUUCUAUUUCAGGUCACAGACCGAGUUUACUGGAAAACGUCAAUAUUCAGGACACACUAGGUCUGGUGUUCUUUUUGCACAGUUAUCAGAAUUCCUGUCACAAAGAUUUUUGAUAUCCUACACAGGGUUUAGAAUGGCAUAUUACCUAACAUAACUGUUCAACAGACCAUAUACAUAUACUUUAUAUCACAGAGCAACUGUUUCUGAUUAAACAGUCCACCUAUUCCAGACAGCUAUUCUGCCAUUGAUUUUAUCCGUACUUUGUCCCUGAGUCAGGGAGAUGUGUGAAACUGAGUGUGAACCUGAUAGUCCCCACACCUCCUGUUGCAGCCCUGUUGACAGAGACAACAAAGAUCUCAGCUGUCCCCAGACAAAUAUUUUGCUUUUGCCUAUUCAUAAUAAAAGAUUAGCAUGUUGCCGUGGUUACGGUGAUCACUGAACCGCAUUUGUCAAUAGACUUAAAACAUCUAGGGUUUCUAGUCUUUCUCAUACGUCGUCGGUGAAAUGUAGGCAAUGGGGUCUAACGGUGCUCACGGCCUCUUUACCAGCUCAUGUUCUUUGGUCCGCCACUGAAUUAAGUAAUUAAUUAAAUAAUUAAGUCCUGGAUUUCAGUAAGGCUGUGGGUAGAAUGACAAUUCCUCUGCUUAGCUGAGAAGGCUUGCUUUUGUUUAAUCAGUUUAAUUCUCGAUAGUUCACUGUUAAUGACAACAUAAUGCACUUAUGAAAAAAACAGUAACAUACAUCAAAAUACAUGUACAUACAUGUCAAAAAAUGGUCUCAAUGUAUGCUGUCUUGUCCCAGUUCUCUUAUUGGGUAGCCUUGGUUUCCAUGCCAACAGAGCUUUGGUACAGAGCCUAGACACAGGCAGUGAGUGCUUGAUGUAUCACACUGGGUCCUGUCCUCUGCUAUUUUCUCACAUUUGCUCCAGUUAACAUGUGUGUAUUGCGUUGCCCCAUCAUGUCGCACUCAAACUGCUUUUGUAAGUGUACGUUAGGCCAGAAGGCAUUGCUGUAGUCCUUCCCUGGGUUGCACAUGUCCCAGGUGAGUGGUGAGUAUUUCAAGAACAUUCCAAGGUCAUUGAGUUAAACUAUUUGAAUCAGGAAGUGAAGUGUACACUUGCAUUUAUAGGCUCUCUGUGUCUUCCGAAAUAACAGUCAAGAGGAGAUAAGGUGAAUGCAAGACAAAGAAAGGAUGUUAAAUGAAGAACAAAGCAGAUAAAGGGGUGUGCAAUCAGAGUGGGGAGGACUGGAGGAACUACACUCCUGAGAGAAGAGCUCAACAGAGCAGAGCUUAGCAGCACAUAGCUUAAUUUCAUCAACACCAAACUACUUAAUAAAGAGUUCUCUAUUUUGUUGGUCAAAUUUUGGGUAGCCUUGAAUAGCCAUGCAUCAUGGCUGCCACUGUUGCUUCUGAGGACAAAUUGAAAUCAUCCUGUCAAAAUGCUGGUGGUUACAAUUCCAACAGACGGCAAUCUAUCUUAUGUUAGAAUUGGGAAAGAAGUGAAUAUCCCCAGAUGGCAAGCAUAUAUCGGCCCACCGGUGGAUUUUAGUUAGCACCACACUGGUAGUGUUCCAAAUCUGCUCCACUCUCUGACCAUCAUCAUCUUUACGCUUUACUCUCUUUACUCUAUACAAUUCACCCACAACUCAGUUGCCAAUUUAGGGAAGGAGCACACCUAACACCAAGGGAUGCACACAUGCUUCAAAGAUUCUACUGUGAUUAAGGUUGUCGCUGCCCGAUCCACACUGGCUACCUAAUCCGUACCAGCUGCCGAUCCGUUCUGCACACACAUAGGCACUCGGAAUCACAACUUAUUCCUUCCUGAUUUACCAUGCAUGUGUAAACAUUGUAUGCUGUUGAAACCAUGCAUUGCGAGUUGUAAGUAUUUUGACAUCGGUCUGAUUGUAUGGCGUGGCCGAUAUCAACCAACGACUGAGUACGACUGUACUUGCUUUGUUAAUAGUGAUUGUGAAAAGAUGUUUUACUAAAAUUAGGUUGUCAUCAAUACAGAAAUAAAAAUAAUAUGAUGACCCAAGGCUGCUGGGAGGAUCAUUUCAUACACUGCCAUUUAGGCCAGACGGUUAUUCUUCCACUCUGGUUUAGGCUACCUGCCUUUCCCUGUAAAUAAGAUCCCACAAAUGUGGGACGGAUUUGGCAGUGCGCAUGUGCCGAAUCUUGUGCAUGUGCACUUGUGCAGAGCGGAUCGGGCAUCCGGUAGAGAUUGGGCAAACGUAGUGAGUUACUGUACAAUUAUUUAGGGUGACUGUUCCAGUGGGAGGGAUGUGAUCACCUUGAAGUUCCAAUGCCGAGGUGGGUGUGUAAACAUGCCAACUGAAUCAACCCGUAUGAACAAAUAAUAACUAUUACAAGGUGUUGGUGUUUUCCCAUCACAAGCAAGUCCGGGGCUAUUAUGCUGGCAAGUUGUAAGACCUUUCUUUUAAGGUCAUAGGCUUUCAUAUCUUUGCCGAACAUUUUUCAGAUUUCUGCCUUAUCAGUGACCAGCCAGAUUGCAUAAACACAGGAAAUCUUGUUGGAAAUAAAGGGAAAUGUAAUUAUCCCAUAUGUUUAUGCUGUACUAUAGUGUCCUGUUUAUACCUGAAGAUCACAAGCAAUAUGAUCAAAGCUGAUCAUAAACAAGAUAAUGGCCACUGAUGAGGGAGAAUGAUGUAACAAAGGAAACAUGAACGUAGAUGUUAUAAUAUGAGACUAGAAAGACCAAGCGGCAUUGGCAGCUUAUUAAUACACAUGAAAAGCUAGGAAUCUGUAGAUUAUAAACAUGCAUAAAUAGAAGCACCAAUGCAUGCACUUACUUCAGAUCUCAUAAUAUUGUGUUUGCAAUUACUUCAGAUCUCUCAAUGUUGUAUUUGUAUUUGUAUUUGUAUAUGUAUAGAAGCUCAUUGUGUCUCAUUAAAAUUUGAUCAGCCUCCUGUACUCCUGAGAGUCAGCUGGGGAGACAUUAGACAAUGCUGAGAAAUACUAAACUGAUACAUUUCUGAGGUCUUAUUGUUUACAAUGGUCAUUCGGUUUUCUGUAACUUACAUGAAUCUUGUUAAUCCUAGUCAGAGAGGUGUGCUCUAGAUACGUCCGCUACGGCUGCAAGAGUCUUUAAUGAGCAGCAUAUGUGCUAAUGCUGUGGAUUUAGCUAAGAUGCUUAAAGUGAUGUGUUCUAUAUUAGGAUAAUGAGAUCUGCUUUCAAAAGGACAGACCUCGAGACACCACCUUGACCCACAACUGCAUGGAUGUGUUUUACUCAAUCAGCACUUCGACACAAUGGCUUUUGUUGUCUUAAUAAUGGACAAGGAGAAGGACUGCAAUGGAUUUAUUUCCUCAUUGACUCAAGUCAUGCAUUAGUAAGCUUGUCUGAAAGCACAAUGGCCUGACGAUUAACACAAUUAAGGGCAUUCUCAAUAUUUGCUAAAUGAAGACCUUUGUUCUCUGAUAAGCCUCUUUUUGAAGGUGCUGGUCGGCAUGUUUCUGAAAAGGAUGUGUGCUUUAUAUAAUCCAUGAAAAGGAGGUGUGCUUUAUAUAAUCCAUGAUGUUCUGCCCAUGCUUCUUAUUGGACCCCACAAACAUUAUAAGGACAGCAUUUCAGUCCUUUAGGAAAUGGCUUUCCACUUCUCUGCCACUGCUAAUACCACUUUGACCUUAAAAAAUCUCUGGCGCCACAGAUACAGCAUGUCAAAGGUAGUCAUUCGACAUGCUUGCCUAUCUGACCAGUUUAGACGCCUUUUCGGGUCCUACGUUCAUGAUAAUUGACUUACUAACUUAAUUAACUAAUUAACCUGCACAUCGUGAACAGAGCUUCCUUGUUGCCCAGCACUACUAUAAUCCAAUAUAAGACUA